This 1027-nucleotide ribosomal RNA is filed under the name Paraleptosphaeria kunmingensis. Its description in RNAcentral is "SSU rRNA". It matches the Rfam family "Eukaryotic small subunit ribosomal RNA", at positions 64 to 1103 of the family's 1831-position model. Lineage: Eukaryota; Fungi; Ascomycota; Dothideomycetes; Pleosporales; Leptosphaeriaceae. The record is from RNAcentral.
UAGUAGCAUUAUACCGUGAAACUGCGAAUGGCUCAUUAAAUCAGUUAUCGUUUAUUUGAUAGUACCUUACUACUUGGAUAACCGUGGUAAUUCUAGAGCUAAUACAUGCUUAAAACCCCAACUUUGGGAGGGGUGUAUUUAUUAGAUAAAAAACCAACGCCCUUCGGGGCUUCUUGGUGAUUCAUGAUAACUUUACGGAUCGCAUGGCCUUGCGCCGGCGACGGUUCAUUCAAAUUUCUGCCCUAUCAACUUUCGAUGGUAAGGUAUUGGCUUACCAUGGUUUCAACGGGUAACGGGGAAUUAGGGUUCGAUUCCGGAGAGGGAGCCUGAGAAACGGCUACCACAUCCAAGGAAGGCAGCAGGCGCGCAAAUUACCCAAUCCCGACACGGGGAGGUAGUGACAAUAAAUACUGAUACAGGGCUCUUUUGGGUCUUGUAAUUGGAAUGAGUACAAUUUAAACCUCUUAACGAGGAACAAUUGGAGGGCAAGUCUGGUGCCAGCAGCCGCGGUAAUUCCAGCUCCAAUAGCGUAUAUUAAAGUUGUUGCAGUUAAAAAGCUCGUAGUUGAAACUUGGGUCUGGCUGGCAGGUCCGCCUCACCGCGUGUACUUGUCCGGCCGGGCCUUCCUUCUGGAGAACCUCAUGCCCUUCACUGGGCGUGUUGGGGACCAGGACUUUUACUUUGAAAAAAUUAGAGUGUUCAAAGCAGGCCUUUGCUCGAAUACGUUAGCAUGGAAUAAUAGAAUAGGACGUGCGGUCCUAUUUUGUUGGUUUCUAGGACCGCCGUAAUGAUUAAUAGGGACAGUCGGGGGCAUCAGUAUUCAAUUGUCAGAGGUGAAAUUCUUGGAUUUAUUGAAGACUAACUACUGCGAAAGCAUUUGCCAAGGAUGUUUUCAUUAAUCAGUGAACGAAAGUUAGGGGAUCGAAGACGAUCAGAUACCGUCGUAGUCUUAACCGUAAACUAUGCCGACUAGGGAUCGGGCGAUGUUCUUUUUCUGACUCGCUCGGCACCUUACGAGAAAUCAAAG